RNAcentral lists this ribosomal RNA (465 nucleotides) under uncultured bacterium. Its description in RNAcentral is "partial 16S ribosomal RNA". It matches the Rfam family "Bacterial small subunit ribosomal RNA", at positions 28 to 507 of the family's 1533-position model. The record is from RNAcentral.
GACGAACGCUGGCGGCGUGCUUAACACAUGCAAGUCGAACGGAAAGGCCCCUUUGGGGGUUCUCGAGUGGCGAACGGGGGAGUAACACGUGAGUAACCUGCCCUUGACUUCGGGAUAACUUCAGGAAACUGGGGCUAAUACCGGCUAGGAAUCCUUGCUGCAUGGUGGGGGUUGGACAGCUUCGGCGGUUUUGGAUGGACUGGCGGCGUAUCAGCUAGUUGGUGGGGUAGUGGCUUACCAAGGCUUUGACGGGUAGCCGGCCUGAGAGGGCGACCGGCCACAUUGAGACUGAGGGACGGCCCCGACGCCUACGGGAGGCAGAAGUGGGGAAUAUUGCACAAGGGGCGGCAGCCUGAUGCAGAAACUCCGCGUGCGGGAUGACGGCCUUCGGGUUGUAAACCGCUUUCAGCAGGGGCGAAGCUUGUGGUGACGGUACCUGCAGAAGAAGCACCGGCUAACUACGUG